AACAUCGCGCACCUGCGGGAACCUGCGGAAGGAUCAUUAAUGAAUAAACUUGGUCAAGCUGUUGCUGGUCUCUCGAGACAUGUGCACGCUUGCCACCAACUUUAACCACCUGUGCACCUUUUGUAGACUGGAAACGUUUCUCGAGGCAACUCGGAUUGAGAACUGUUGCGCGCAAGCCAGCUGUUCUUGAGUUUCUCAGUCUAUGUUUUCAUAUACUCCUAAUGUAUGUAAUCGAAUGUA
Molecule: unclassified non-coding RNA, 240 nt
Filed under: soil metagenome
Description: partial contains 5.8S ribosomal RNA, internal transcribed spacer 2, and large subunit ribosomal RNA
Source: RNAcentral